CAUCUUUCACCUACCAAAGUCGCUAACGGCGGCGGCGGAGAUCAAACUCUCAAGUGUUUCCGACCGGCCCCCGUCGCCGUCACGGAUUCUACCCUUGGCCCCCAGCGCCCCAAUUUCUUCGAUGCUUCCAGCCCCACUCGUCCCACACCAGGUUAGUCACAGAAAGUUUGAUGAAAGGCGUCAGAAAGAUCAAAUCCGAUAUCGCCAAUGGCAACAUCACAAUUCACAUAGUUGGAUGUCACCUUCUCCUCCAGGUAAUUGCUUUGGACAAGAUCGAAAAAUCAAGCGGGCACAUUGCACAGAAUAUCCUCCCCCAUGUCAAAGUUUUCGAUCACGAAUCAGUAAAGAAGGCAAUUGACUCAAUUACAUCCCACGAAGGACAAGAAGUUUUUUUGCUGGCACAGAUUGUGAUCUGAAGGAGGUUGUUCAUUCAGAGAAUAUUAUAUCGAAUAUAAAAGUUCACCAUCCCAACCAUGUCACAAACAAGAUAUGUGACCCUUCAUCUUCAAAGGUCCCCCUUCGUGCUGCUAGUAAGAUUAAUUAAGCCACGAAGCACUAUUGGCCCUGUAGAGUUUGCCAACAUAAUGAGACGCAAGUACCCAAACAUGGCAAAUGACCUCGUUGGAAUCAUUCUGAAGGAGCACAAUACCAGGCUUAUGGCAAACAUCUCCGAGAUACGGCACACCACCCAAAUUGGGAUGCUAAAAUUUCUCGACGAGCUAGGGGCAUGUUUGUCCAGCAGAUGCAUAUGUUGCCAACUUGCCGGUCUUACGACAUGCCGUUUGGUAGAUACCAACACAGCAGGACAAAUAAUUGUCAAUGACCGGCUGGGACAACAGCACGAUCUUUCCGACAGCGAAGGCAGCUCCACUGGGCAUGUACAUCAAGCUCGGAAAAAGGGUAUAUGUACAGAGCAGUGAUAACAUUAUGGACGACACGCACAUCGGCCAAAACAAGAAGCACUAUAUAACCAACAAGGCACUUAUGUUCAUGACGGCAACCACGACAAUCCAUCCACUCCAGAAAGGGGCAUCGACUCAUCCGCUGACCUAACGAGCCUUGUUUUCUAUCAUGAUGAUCUUUUUUCCAGUAUCGUACUCGCUUACCAAGAUUGCACGGGAGUUUCUUUCUCACAGUUAACAGACACGACCCCACCCGCCAGACAUUUAUCUUGAAAAUCAUUUGUGUCAGACCCAUGGUCUUCGACUCCACCGUCACACACCCCACUGGCUGAUUCAAGCAAAAUCUUUGCAUUCUGCAUCUCUAAUGAUCAGCCUGACAGCAUGUCUAGGACAUGGAUCGAGCACCCCACGCCCAGGCUGUUGUUAGUGCAGGGGUAUAUUUUAUGUGACUAGAUCAUCGGAAAAGAUGCAAUAAGCCAUGAAUGCUUGACUCCCAUUGUUCGUCGAUUAGCACAAAUCCAACACACCAAUUCGAAAGAUGGAGAUUUUGCAAUUUGGUGAAAGUUCGUCGAGCCAGACUUUACGACACUUGCCAUCCGCAACAUAGACCCAACGUUCGCCGUCUUAGUCCAAACAGAACUCCUAAUGGAGAAAUACAUCGACCAGUGCCGAAUGUUCAUUUUCCACACCCCUCUGCAUUAUGGAUGGUGCUGUUAUAUUUUAGAUAUGCUGAGGAAGAGGAUUGUUGUUCUAGAUCCGCAAGCAGGCCCAUUUGGAUUUACAUCCGACAGAGUCAAAUUCCAUGAACAAAUCAGUCAUGCUAUCCAUGGGGCAUUCUUCAAAUGUGUGCAAACUUUAUUCUCAAGUUGGCCAUGCACUUCUGAUGGAUGGACCAGAGAGUUUCCUACUUUGAUGAUAGAAAAAAUUGCAAGUGAGGAGUCCGCCAUCUAUUCGUUAUUCAUGGCAAGGCACUAUGAGGCGAGACACUACGGAACCCGACCACGAAGGAAAACAUAUGUGCCUAUCGCCGAGCCAUCCUCCAAGACGUUCUGAAGCUUGAGGACAGCAAAUCGGACACACCGUACAAGGCAAUGCAGCACAUCAGAGCAACUGUAAACAAUUUGUAGUUUGGUAGACAUCUUCAGAAACCAGAUGAGAAAUGUACCCCCCUAGUCGGCUCAAUAGUUUAUCAAGUCAGAUAGCAGGAGUUUGGUUUGCACAAACAUCCUUAUGUACUGUACCGUAGCAAUUAGUAUCCAGACCAAUAUAAUCUACA
Triticum dicoccoides is the source of this 2178-nucleotide long non-coding RNA. RefSeq lists it as uncharacterized. NCBI's taxonomy places the organism in Eukaryota, Viridiplantae, Streptophyta, Magnoliopsida, Poales, Poaceae. The record is from RefSeq and is a predicted model, not a curated record. The transcript has 13 exons.